Long non-coding RNA from Entelurus aequoreus (snake pipefish), 1416 nucleotides. RefSeq lists it as uncharacterized. The transcript is spliced from 6 exons. NCBI's taxonomy places the organism in Eukaryota, Metazoa, Chordata, Actinopteri, Syngnathiformes, Syngnathidae. The record is from RefSeq and is a predicted model, not a curated record.
GGUCACGUGACCGAAGUGGUUUGAAAAAGCAAAUGGCGGCAAUGCAGAGAAGUCACGUCACAACAUCUCAGACAGCCAACUGGUUAUUACCUGCUCCUUCCACCUGAUCAUUCAACUGUUUAUCCACUCAUCUGCUGCUCAAUGCCACUCCACUACUACUUCUACUGCACUUGUACUCCUGAAUGCCAAGAGUCACAUCAAAAGGGAAAAAGGUGGAAAAUUGUGAGGACACCUUUUGGACAAGUCCUCCGGAAAGUUGGCGUGCUGAUUACCUGCAUGACACGUAUGGAGCUUCACGUCCACCAUCCACCAUCCACCAUCCAGCAAAUGUAUAUGAAGCACCACUUCCAACAAGACAUCUCCGGUUGAAAGAAAUACCACAGAACACGUGGAGAUCCUCAAAUCUUCAUUGGACAGCAAUCAAUCCCACUUGUCACCUGGAGGGGGCGCCCAGGAGCACACACAACAAGUGUCAUCUGGUGUCAUCUGGUGUCAUGUGACCAUUGCAGCUGUCAUGUGGGCCCACACUCAAAUGGCGGGGGUGGUCUUUGAAGUCCAGGUAGUCCUGGACAAAGUGAGGAUGCUCCGCCAUGAAACACCAAAGUUCAUCUGGGCAAAACAAAGCAAAGCUCCAUCAGCACCAGGGACAGCUCCACUUGCUUCACCCCCAACAUGAUUUCCAACAUGGCGGCGAGGUCCCGCUCAUGGACCUGACCGGUGUCUUGGCUGUCAUACAUCUGUGCACCAGUGAGCGCCCUUCGUGUUAACACAAGUGAUGUAAAGAAAGAAGCAUCCUUUGAAGAGUAACAUGGUGGUCUUACCUCAAAGGCCAUCUUGAGGGUGUCCAUUGACUUGGAUGGCCUGUAAAUGGUGGACAAGGCAAGCAGGUAGUGCCUGAUGUCUAUCUGGCCCUCUUCCUGCUGGACACAAAGUAGUGAGACUUGUGAGGCUGUAAGUGUCCACUAGAGGGAGACAUAGUGUCUAUCUGGCCCUCUUCCUGCUGGACACAAAGUAGUAAGAGUUGUGAGGCUGCAAGUGUCCACUAGAGGGAGACAUACCUGGUUAAAGAGGCCGUGGAUGUGUCGGAGUGUGUCCGUCACACCAACAUGGAGGAAGAGGGCAAAGUCCUCCAAAGUCAGAAGAUGUUUCCGCAGCUUCCUGACUUUGCUCACCUGCUCCUGCAACGAGCUCUCCGUCGUCUUGAGCCUGCAGAGAAGAACACGGGACAGUUAGUCAGUUCAUCAUCAGUGGCUCGUUAGCGUGUGACAAUAUUGAAUCAAACCAAACAUCAUACUGAAUUUUAACAGUUGUAGAAUGUUCCAUUUAGUCCAAAAUAUGUCUCUGUUUCUCGAAAUGUCAAAAUAAUUCAUGUUAAUUCCUCUUUGUAUGAAUGAAGCAGUAAUUAAAAAAAAUCCA